This 1106-nucleotide ribosomal RNA is filed under the name Burkholderia cenocepacia. Its description in RNAcentral is "partial 23S ribosomal RNA". It matches the Rfam family "Bacterial large subunit ribosomal RNA", at positions 1581 to 2681 of the family's 2925-position model. Lineage: Bacteria; Pseudomonadati; Pseudomonadota; Betaproteobacteria; Burkholderiales; Burkholderiaceae. The record is from RNAcentral.
GGGAGCGAAGCAAUUGGAAGUGGUUCCAAGAAAAGCCUCUAAGCUUCAGUCUAACGAUGACCGUACCGCAAACCGACACAGGUGGGCGAGAUGAGUAUUCUAAGGCGCUUGAGAGAACUCGGGAGAAGGAACUCGGCAAAUUGGUACCGUAACUUCGGGAUAAGGUACGCCCUUGUAGCUUGACCAGCCUGCGCUGGAAGGGUGAAGGGGUUGCAAUAAACUGGUGGCUGCGACUGUUUAAUAAAAACACAGCACUCUGCAAACACGAAAGUGGACGUAUAGGGUGUGACGCCUGCCCGGUGCCGGAAGAUUAAAUGAUGGGGUGCAAGCUCUUGAUUGAAGUCCCGGUAAACGGCGGCCGUAACUAUAACGGUCCUAAGGUAGCGAAAUUCCUUGUCGGGUAAGUUCCGACCUGCACGAAUGGCGUAACGAUGGCCACACUGUCUCCUCCCGAGACUCAGCGAAGUUGAAGUGUUUGUGAUGAUGCAAUCUACCCGCGGCUAGACGGAAAGACCCCAUGAACCUUUACUGUAGCUUUGCAUUGGACUUUGAACCGAUCUGUGUAGGAUAGGUGGGAGGCUAUGAAACCGGAACGCUAGUUUCGGUGGAGCCGUCCUUGAAAUACCACCCUGGUUUGUUUGAGGUUCUAACCUUGGCCCGUGAUCCGGGUCGGGGACAGUGCAUGGUAGGCAGUUUGACUGGGGCGGUCUCCUCCCAAAGCGUAACGGAGGAGUACGAAGGUACGCUAGGUACGGUCGGAAAUCGUGCUGAUAGUGCAAUGGCAUAAGCGUGCUUAACUGCGAGACCGACAAGUCGAGCAGGUGCGAAAGCAGGUCAUAGUGAUCCGGUGGUUCUGUAUGGAAGGGCCAUCGCUCAACGGAUAAAAGGUACUCUGGGGAUAACAGGCUGAUACCGCCCAAGAGUUCAUAUCGACGGCGGUGUUUGGCACCUCGAUGUCGGCUCAUCUCAUCCUGGGGCUGUAGCCGGUCCCAAGGGUAUGGCUGUUCGCCAUUUAAAGAGGUACGUGAGCUGGGUUUAAAACGUCGUGAGACAGUUUGGUCCCUAUCUGCCGUGGGCGUUGGAUAUUUGAAGGGGGCUGCUCCUAG